Molecule: ribosomal RNA, 445 nt
Filed under: uncultured bacterium
Lineage: Bacteria
Description: bacterial SSU rRNA
Rfam family: Bacterial small subunit ribosomal RNA
Source: RNAcentral
CCCAGACUCCUACGGGAGGCAGCAGUGGGGAAUAUUGCACAAUGGGGGAAACCCUGAUGCAGCGAUGCCGCGUGAGCGAUGAAGUAUUUCGGUAUGUAAAGCUCUAUCAGCAGGGAAGAAGAUGACGGUACCUGACUAAGAAGCCCCGGCUAACUACGUGCCAGCAGCCGCGGUAAUACGUAGGGGGCAAGCGUUAUCCGGAUUUACUGGGUGUAAAGGGAGCGUAGACGGCGAUGCAAGCCAGAUGUGAAAGCCCGGGGCUCAACCCCGGGACUGCUUUGGAAACUGUGCAUCUUGAGUACGGGAGGGGCAGGCGGAAUUCCUGGUGUAGCGGUGAAAUGCGUAGAUAUCAGGAGGAACACCGGCGGCGAAGGCGGCCUGCUGGACCGAAACUGACGUUGAGGCUCGAAAGCGUGGGGAGCAAACAGGAUUAGAUACCCUUGUA